Long non-coding RNA from Thunnus maccoyii (southern bluefin tuna), 215 nucleotides. RefSeq lists it as uncharacterized. The transcript is spliced from 3 exons. The record is from RefSeq and is a predicted model, not a curated record. NCBI's taxonomy places the organism in Eukaryota, Metazoa, Chordata, Actinopteri, Scombriformes, Scombridae.
GGCUGCAGCAGUGGCUUCAGUAACCCAGAUGUAGUCCAGAUGUUCAGGUUCCUCUAACCAGGCACCUGCAGGGCGAGGAGACACAGGAGGGAGACUAAAGCGGCGGCUGUGAUGAUGGAGCUUCUUUCUGGAGCAGGAGUGUUGCUCCUGGAAAGUGUUUCCAGCAGUCACUCGGCAACCACGGCGGAGGAUGUGACCGGCGGCUGCCCCCGGCG